CCUGACUCCCUAAAACUGCCACCUCUUCCUGUUCAGUCAACCUUCCUCCUCCUGCCUGACGGUUGGAAGUGGAAGGACGUGGACUGGGUGGGGGCGGGCACGGCUUGUGCCCAGGCUGGGCCUCCCCCAAGAGUGGCAAAGCAUGGUUUUUGGGAUCCCAGAGGAGAAGCUGCCCAUUGUGUACUUUUCCGGGUAUGGAGAAAGAAAGAGGAGACAGCAGAGCUGACUUGAAUGCCUGGCUCAAUUCACCGGCGACAGCCCUCCCAGCCUGCCCUGUGGGGGUCCUCAGAGCUGGUCCCUAUUUCGCAAAGUUGGCUCAAGCAGCCUCAGGAAUGGGUGUGUGACUUCAGAGCAGAGCAGAGAAGGACACCACCCUCUUCUGGGGCCACAGCCCUCGUGGGAUUUGCCUCAUCCUUGAGGGGCAUGUUGGGAGACACUGUACAGCUAAGAGUUCCACGGGCUCUUCUGCAUUUGGGGUCAGGCCGGAGAGGAGCCAGAAGAAGUUUGCUAGCAGACUGAGUCACCCAGAGGCCGACCCUUUCACACAAGCUGUCAUACCUCGGCGAAGUAACAUUCACGGCCAUACCUUCGACCACCUGUUUUCCAGUGCUCUCACACCUUCCCAACCCCCUGUUCGGAAACAAGACUGGAAGUGGAAAGUUCCAGAACUGAUGAGCCAAAGGACAAAACCGUAAGGCAAUAAGUCAGCCUCAUCACGCUUAGGAAGGAUGGAGGCUGAUGGAGUUGGUGGCCAUCUCCUCAGCUCAUGAAACAGCCAGAUCACUACAGAACUGUUACCACAAGGCCAGGACACGUUGACACGAGGCGAGGAUUACCCUUCAUCUAACAGAAACAAACACAAGGGCAGGGAGGCAAGCGUUCUCCUCUCUUUCCUUUGUACCCUCCUGAGAGCUUCCCUUGGGGAAGAUAAUUCCCUGUGCAGACUCCUAAGUCAGCCCUGAGAUGAGCAGGUGCCAAGGCUUGAGAGACAAAGGCCUGAUGAGCACAGAAGUACGUGGCAUCCUCACCUUAGGAGGCCACUGAGAAUGUCCGUCUGUCGGAGAAAGAAGGCUGUGAUGUGUGCAGAGGCUGUGGCAAUAUUCCCUACACUAAUGCCAGCGUGAAUUACCCAUGAAAUAAUUUAAAUGUGCCUCUCUGUGAGACGAACCCGGCUCAAAGAAAAAGUGUGUGCUUUUCUAGGCUUACCUAUGGAGCCGACAGAAUUUUUGCUUUUUAAUCAAAGCAGCAAUCCACUUUGGAUUAGGAUUUAUUGUAUGGGGGCAACUUCAUCUCAAAAAUAUAUGUCUGGGUGAGUGUAUGUGUGUGUGUAGAUAUGUACAUACUCAAGGACAAUGACUUUACAGGACAACGAACCAGUUCUAAACAGCCAUCUUUGACUUAAAGGAAAUGUCGUUUUCUGCGCCUGGUCUGUAAGGAUUCCAGGUGACCCCAUUAAAAGUGGUGGAAAGGUACUCUGGAACGUGCAAACUCAUCAUCAGCUGGAUUACCAUCUUUGUAAAGAGUUCUAGCCAAAUCUCAGAUUCCAAUUCCAAAUGGUAGAGACAAGCGUGCACUUUUUGGAAGGAGAUAAAUACCCAUUCCAUGCCAGCUGGGUUGAGUCUUGGAAGGAGCGAGGUAGCAAAGAAAGGCGUCCUUGUCCUAGACAAUGAGUACGGGGACACAAGCUUCAUUCGGAAGAACUAUCCAUUCUAGGUGUGGGCAAUGGGCACAGAAGAUGGAGAAGAGAAAGCCAAGUAGCCAGCAAAAACGCUGGAGGUGAACGCACGGGUAAAAAUUCUCAGUGUCUUGGUAAAUGAUCAAACUCUUGUCACACACGUAAGGGUUCUGGAGUCAGCGACGGAGACUAAAAUCCUACCUUGACCACUACCUAGCUGUGCACCUUGGACCUCUUUCUAGGUAUCCAUUUUGUCGCCUGAAAAAUGGGGAUCGCAGCACUGACUCUUCCUCGCUGCUAGGAUGCCUUCCACAGCUGUCAGCCACCAUUGUUAUUGUUAUUUCCAUUUGCGGAUGUAAAACAGAACUAUGCUUGACUCUAUUUCACAGGCUGGUUUUGGUAUUAAAUUAAACCAUGUUUUCAACUGUGUAGCAUAUUUCCUGGCUUACAGUAAGUAAUUAAUAAAUCUUAG
Molecule: long non-coding RNA, 2147 nt
Organism: Equus caballus (horse)
Lineage: Eukaryota; Metazoa; Chordata; Mammalia; Perissodactyla; Equidae
Source: Ensembl